This 949-nucleotide ribosomal RNA is filed under the name Staphylococcus aureus. Its description in RNAcentral is "bacterial SSU rRNA". It matches the Rfam family "Bacterial small subunit ribosomal RNA", at positions 61 to 991 of the family's 1533-position model. Lineage: Bacteria; Bacillati; Bacillota; Bacilli; Caryophanales; Staphylococcaceae. The record is from RNAcentral. RNAcentral also lists the same sequence under 9 other names.
GUCGAGCGAACGGACGAGAAGCUUGCUUCUCUGAUGUUAGCGGCGGACGGGUGAGUAACACGUGGAUAACCUACCUAUAAGACUGGGAUAACUUCGGGAAACCGGAGCUAAUACCGGAUAAUAUUUUGAACCGCAUGGUUCAAAAGUGAAAGACGGUCUUGCUGUCACUUAUAGAUGGAUCCGCGCUGCAUUAGCUAGUUGGUAAGGUAACGGCUUACCAAGGCAACGAUGCAUAGCCGACCUGAGAGGGUGAUCGGCCACACUGGAACUGAGACACGGUCCAGACUCCUACGGGAGGCAGCAGUAGGGAAUCUUCCGCAAUGGGCGAAAGCCUGACGGAGCAACGCCGCGUGAGUGAUGAAGGUCUUCGGAUCGUAAAACUCUGUUAUUAGGGAAGAACAUAUGUGUAAGUAACUGUGCACAUCUUGACGGUACCUAAUCAGAAAGCCACGGCUAACUACGUGCCAGCAGCCGCGGUAAUACGUAGGUGGCAAGCGUUAUCCGGAAUUAUUGGGCGUAAAGCGCGCGUAGGCGGUUUUUUAAGUCUGAUGUGAAAGCCCACGGCUCAACCGUGGAGGGUCAUUGGAAACUGGAAAACUUGAGUGCAGAAGAGGAAAGUGGAAUUCCAUGUGUAGCGGUGAAAUGCGCAGAGAUAUGGAGGAACACCAGUGGCGAAGGCGACUUUCUGGUCUGUAACUGACGCUGAUGUGCGAAAGCGUGGGGAUCAAACAGGAUUAGAUACCCUGGUAGUCCACGCCGUAAACGAUGAGUGCUAAGUGUUAGGGGGUUUCCGCCCCUUAGUGCUGCAGCUAACGCAUUAAGCACUCCGCCUGGGGAGUACGACCGCAAGGUUGAAACUCAAAGGAAUUGACGGGGACCCGCACAAGCGGUGGAGCAUGUGGUUUAAUUCGAAGCAACGCGAAGAACCUUACCAAAUCUUGACAUCCUU